UUAGACUCCUUGGGAGAUUCGGUCACGUGCAGGGCUCCAGCAGGAGUGAGGCCUGGGGUGGCAAGCCUUGUUUCCACCAGGCAAGGAUCCUCUGGGCUGGGGCCUGGCACUGCUGAACCUCAGUCCAUUGCUUUUUGACCUAGUGGGUUUUGUAGGGUGAACCAAGUUUGAAUCAAUGCCAGCUCUGGUGGAGUUGGGGGAAGUAGGUAUUGGGAGGCAGGCGGGUCUACAUUGGAGCUUGGGUUCAUGGACGCCCAGAAAGAUCUAGUCCCUCUUGUUCUGCCCUUGGAGCUGGGGUCACAGCCUGACCAGCUGGGUCAGGAAGAUCCGAGGACCUGCAGGGUUGUGAGGAGGUGCCUAGGCAGGGAGGCAAAUGUGGAAGCAGUCACGCGGAGCGAGGUCCUGUAGGUCUCGGCUCACACCAGCACUGCUGCCUGGACCAGCCUGGACCAGCCUGACCUGGCUGGGUCUCCCCGGCGAGCUCCACUGGGGACGGAUGCACUAGAAGAACAUCAGCAGGAAUAUGAAGCAGAUGAGCACAAACAGAUAAAGUCACCUUCACGUAAGGAAAAGACAUUAAUAAUGUAAAUGCAAGUAAAGCAAGACCGUCACGGCACAGAUCCUCCCACACGCUCACAGCGCACUUACGGGAGAGCAGCUGGAAGCUUUGGAAAGUUUGCUGGCAAAUCAAAGGAACUGCGAAUUACAGCAUUUUGCCAGGAUGCCACGAAAUCAGUAGCAACAGAGACUUAUUGACCACAUUCUGUGAUUCUUGAUCUGUUAAUCAACUGAGACAUGGCUUUACUCUUUAAAAGAGGCAGGGAGAGAAAUACCUCAAUUUCUAGCUAUGUUCCAUCUCUGUGUCAUCGGGCCAGAUGAGAUUAUACCAAAGUUACAGAAACAAGACCUGGAACGCUGGCUGAUUACUAAGUCACCUGUGAAAAAUUCAAAUAUUCAAGCAAAUUUUACCCAGA
Canis lupus familiaris (dog) is the source of this 974-nucleotide long non-coding RNA. RefSeq lists it as uncharacterized. NCBI's taxonomy places the organism in Eukaryota, Metazoa, Chordata, Mammalia, Carnivora, Canidae. The transcript has 3 exons. The record is from RefSeq and is a predicted model, not a curated record.